This 258-nucleotide ribosomal RNA is filed under the name uncultured bacterium. RNAcentral describes it as "partial 16S ribosomal RNA". It matches the Rfam family "Bacterial small subunit ribosomal RNA", at positions 524 to 776 of the family's 1533-position model. The record is from RNAcentral.
GACGUAGGUGGCGAACGUUAUCCGGAAUUAUUGGGCGUAAAGGGUGCGUAGAUGGUUUGACAAGUUAGUGGUGGGAAAUCGAGGCUCAACCCCGUGGAAGUCACUAAUACUAUCAAACUAGAGUGCAGGAGAGGUUAAUGGAACUCCAUGUGUAGCGGUAAAAUGCGACGAUAUAUGGAUGAACACCAAUAAAGGCGAAGGCAGUUAACUAUUCUGCUACUGACAUUGAGGGCACGGAAAGCGUGGGGAGCAAAACGG